CCUACGGGGGGCAGCAGUGGGGAAUAUUGCACAAUGGGCGCAAGCCUGAUGCAGCGACGCCGCGUGGGGGAUGACGGCCUUCGGGUUGUAAACUCCUUUCGCAACUGACGCGGUAGGUUGAGAAGAAGCACCGGCUAACUACGUGCCAGCAGCCGCGGUAAUACGUAGGGUGCGAGCGUUGUCCGGAAUUACUGGGCGUAAAGAGCUCGUAGGUGGUUUGUCGCGUCGUGUGUGAAAUUCCGGGGCUUAACUUCGGGGUUGCAUACGAUACGGGCAAACUUGAGUGCUGUAGGGGAGACUGGAAUUCCUGGUGUAGCGGUGAAAUGCGCAGAUAUCAGGAGGAACACCGAUGGCGAAGGCAGGUCUCUGGGCAGUACUGACGCUGAGGAGCGAAAGCAUGGGGAGCGAACAGGAUUAGAUACCCGUGUAGUC
This 432-nucleotide ribosomal RNA is filed under the name uncultured bacterium. Its description in RNAcentral is "partial 16S ribosomal RNA". It matches the Rfam family "Bacterial small subunit ribosomal RNA", at positions 338 to 795 of the family's 1533-position model. The record is from RNAcentral.